Molecule: ribosomal RNA, 263 nt
Filed under: uncultured bacterium
Lineage: Bacteria
Description: partial 16S ribosomal RNA
Rfam family: Bacterial small subunit ribosomal RNA
Source: RNAcentral
CGACCGGCGCACGGGUGAGUAACGCGUAUCCAACCUGCCUUUACUAUGGGACAGCCCGUCGAAAGGCGGAUUAAUACCGUAUGUUGUCAUGUUGAUGCAUAUUUUCAUGACCAAAGGCUUCGGCCGGUAAAGGAUGGGGAUGCGUCUGAUUAGCUUGCCGGCGGGGUAACGGCCCACCGGGGCGACGAUCAGUAGGGGUUCUGAGAGGAAGGUCCCCCACAUUGGAACUGAGACACGGUCCAAACUCCUACGGGAGGCAGCAG